This 250-nucleotide long non-coding RNA is filed under the name Brassica napus (rape). RNAcentral's name for it is "long non-coding RNA (BNAP_LNC017067)". Lineage: Eukaryota; Viridiplantae; Streptophyta; Magnoliopsida; Brassicales; Brassicaceae. The record is from RNAcentral.
UAAAAGGUCGAAGCUUGUUGCUAGUUUUGGUGUUUUGACAAAAUUGUGGUCGGAUGUACACCAACACGUGUGUACAUAUGAACAACCAGGAUUUUAUACAUGUGUACACGCGUGUAUAUGUACAUAAUAAGUAAUGUUGAUAUGAGUAUUCUUGUUGAUAGGUUGGCAUGUAUAUGUUGUGUUUGUUGGUGUAGGAGCCGGUGCAUAUGAAUAAUAUCCAUGUGUACACCGAUGUAAUGAUAUUCACAUG